GACGAACGCUGGCGGCGUGCUUAACACAUGCAAGUCGAACGGAAAGGCCCUGCUUGCAGGGUACUCGAGUGGCGAACGGGUGAGUAACACGUGGGUGAUCUGCCCUGCACUUCGGGAUAAGCCUGGGAAACUGGGUCUAAUACCGGAUAGGAGCCAUUUUUAGUGUGAUGGUUGGAAAGUUUUUUCGGUGUAGGAUGAGCUCGCGGCCUAUCAGCUUGUUGGUGGGGUAAUGGCCUACCAAGGCGGCGACGGGUAGCCGGCCUGUGAGGGUGGACGGCCACCCUGGGACUGAGAUACGGCCCAGACUCCUACGGGAGGCAGCAGUGGGGAAUAUUGCACAAUGGGCGCAAGCCUGAUGCAGCGACGCCGCGUGGGGGAUGACGGCCUUCGGGUUGGAAACUCCUUUCGCUAGGGACGAAGCUUUUUGUGACGGUACCUAGAGAAGAAGCACCGGCUAACUACGUG
This 465-nucleotide ribosomal RNA is filed under the name uncultured bacterium. RNAcentral describes it as "partial 16S ribosomal RNA". It matches the Rfam family "Bacterial small subunit ribosomal RNA", at positions 28 to 507 of the family's 1533-position model. The record is from RNAcentral.